GAGCACUGCGGCAACCAAGGUGUAUUUUAGGGCUCAGUUAAUUAAAAGUUACUUGUCAAUCUGCCUAGGUCCUGGGUUGCACUGAGUGAAACUCCGCUGUUGUGGCUCCCUUUACCACAGGAAGAAGCACACUGUGUUUAUGCAGUUACAGCACUGUUUUGGCUACCCUCCUGUAGAGGUAUCCAUCUGUCUUACCAGGAAAAAUAACUUCUGUAGCUGAGAGGAACACACAAAGCGGUGCUGCUGCAGGACCA
Molecule: long non-coding RNA, 254 nt
Filed under: Anser brachyrhynchus (Pink-footed goose)
Lineage: Eukaryota; Metazoa; Chordata; Aves; Anseriformes; Anatidae
Description: lncRNA (ENSABRG00000009866.1)
Source: RNAcentral